This 490-nucleotide long non-coding RNA is filed under the name Ananas comosus (pineapple). RNAcentral describes it as "long non-coding RNA (ACOM_LNC013413)". The record is from RNAcentral. Lineage: Eukaryota; Viridiplantae; Streptophyta; Magnoliopsida; Poales; Bromeliaceae.
ACCUUAGGUUGACACCUGCCCCCAACCCUCCACUUCUCUCUCUCUCUCUCACACACACACACACACACACACACACACAUCUAUAAACAUAUAUGAAUCCUUAAUAUUUUUGCCACGUGGCAAUUGUUCCUUCACCCUCACUAGCCUCUCUUUUCAACCGUUCCUCUUCUUUGAUUCGAACCAAACUGUUCUUUGAACCGCUCAUUCCUGUUCUCUGAUCCGAUCCACCUCCCAACAUCUGAACCAAACUGCUUUUGAACCAACCUAUCGCUUUUGAACUGAACCAUCUUUCUAAGCCGUCCUCCUAACAUCUGAACCGAACCGCUUCCUAUCUAUGAACCACCAAAUCACACCGACCGCCUCUCUUUCUCUCUCCUAUUCAGUUAUUGCACGACGGAGCGUUUCCGCUCCCCUCUCCUCCGCGUCGUUCCUUCUUCCUCCUUUAUUGCAGCGUUUUCUCUUCCCUCUCUGUGGUAUCGCCGUUUCGAUU